CUUUAGCCAGUUUUAUUUCCCCAAAUGUUAUCCUCUCAUCUUCCCAUGUCCAUUUGUCAAAGCUGAGACACCAGCCUUGGCACUCACUACUGUCUGAACCUCAGACCUCAUUCCAACGUCCCCAGUUCCCCCUUAGGCUCCUGUUCCUGUUCCAGGGUCCCGUCGGGAGCUCAUGCUGCAGAGGGUCAUCCUGGCUCCUUCGGGUCCUCCUGACUGUGGCCACUUCUCAGUCUUUGUUUUUCAAGUUUGUCAGGCAUGUUAUAGAACAUCC
This 271-nucleotide long non-coding RNA is filed under the name Homo sapiens (human). Its description in RNAcentral is "HSALNT0371732". The record is from RNAcentral. Lineage: Eukaryota; Metazoa; Chordata; Mammalia; Primates; Hominidae.